GACGAACGCUGGCGGCGUGCUUAACACAUGCAAGUCGAACGGAAAGGCCCUGCUUUUGUGGGGUGCUCGAGUGGCGAACGGGUGAGUAACACGUGAGUAACCUGCCCUUGACUUUGGGAUAACUUCAGGAAACUGGGGCUAAUACCGGAUAGGAGCUCCUGCUGCAUGGGGGGGGUUGGAGAGUUUCGGCGGUUGUGGAUGGACUCGCGGCUUAUCAGCUUGUUGGUGGGGUAGUGGCUUACCAAGGCUUUGACGGGUAGCCGGCCUGAGAGGGUGACCGGCCACAUUGGGACUGAGAUACGGCCCAGACUCCUACGGGAGGCAGCAGUGGGGAAUAUUGCACAAUGGGCGGAAGCCUGAUGCAGCAACGCCGCGUGCGGGAUGACGGCCUUCGGGUUGUAAACCGCUUUCGCCUGUGACGAAGCGUGAGUGACGGUAAUGGGUAAAGAAGCACCGGCUAACUACGUG
Molecule: ribosomal RNA, 468 nt
Filed under: uncultured bacterium
Lineage: Bacteria
Description: partial 16S ribosomal RNA
Rfam family: Bacterial small subunit ribosomal RNA
Source: RNAcentral